CCCUUAGAUGUUCUGGGCCGCACGCGUGCUACACUGAGUGGAUCAGCGGGUCAGGUUGUGCGAAAGCGCUUCCUAAUCUUUAAAUCCGCUCGUGAUGGGGAUUGACGGUUGCAAUUUUCUGUCAUGAACGAGGAAUACCUUGUAAGCGCGGGUCAUCAUCCCGCGCUGAAUACGUCCCUGCCCUUUGUACACACCGCCCGUCGCUCCUACCGAUUGAGUGGUCCGGUGAGGCUUUGGGAUCUGAGCGGAAAGAGCGUUUCGCUGUUUCUGCUCGGAAAACUCAGUCGAACCUUAUCAUUUAGAGGAAGGAGAAGUCGUAACA
RNAcentral lists this ribosomal RNA (322 nucleotides) under uncultured eukaryote. RNAcentral describes it as "partial 18S ribosomal RNA". It matches the Rfam family "Eukaryotic small subunit ribosomal RNA", at positions 1470 to 1796 of the family's 1831-position model. The record is from RNAcentral.